UAGGGANUCUUCCACAAUGGGCGAAAGCCUGAUGGAGCAACGCCGCGUGUGUGAUGAAGGCUUUAGGGUCGUAAAGCACUGUUGUAUGGGAAGAAAUGCUAGAAUAGGGAAUGAUUCUAGUUCGACGGUACCAUACCAGAAAGGGACGGCUAAAUACGUGCCAGCAGCCGCGGUAAUACGUAUGUCCCGAGCGUUAUCCGGAUUUAUUGGGCGUAAAGCGAGCGCAGACGGUUGAUUAAGUCUGAUGUGAAAGCCCGGAGCUCAACUCCGGAAUGGCAUUGGAAACUGGUUAACUUGAGUGUUGUAGAGGUAAGUGGAACUCCAUGUGUAGCGGUGGAAUGCGUAGAUAUAUGGAAGAACACCAGUGGCGAAGGCGGCUUACUGGACAACAACUGACGUUGAGGCUCGAAAGUGUGGGUAGCAAACAGGAUUAGAUACCCUGGUAGUCCACACCGUAAACGAUGAAUACUAGGUGUUAGGAGGUUUCCGCCUCUUAGUGCCGAAGCUAACGCAUUAAGUAUUCCGCCUGGGGAGUACGNNNNCANGGUUG
RNAcentral lists this ribosomal RNA (550 nucleotides) under uncultured bacterium. RNAcentral describes it as "bacterial SSU rRNA". It matches the Rfam family "Bacterial small subunit ribosomal RNA", at positions 355 to 896 of the family's 1533-position model. The record is from RNAcentral.